GACGAACGCGGCGGCGUGCCUAAUACAUGCAAGUAGAACGCUGAAGGAGGAGCUUGCUUCUCUGGAUGAGUUGCGAACGGGUGAGUAACGCGUAGGUAACCUGCCUGGUAGCGGGGGAUAACUAUUGGAAACGAUAGCUAAUACCGCAUAAUAGCAGUUAUUGCAUGAUAACUGUUUGAAAGGUGCAAUUGCACCACUACCAGAUGGACCUGCGUUGUAUUAGCUAGUUGGUGGGGUAACGGCUCACCAAGGCGACGAUACAUAGCCGACCUGAGAGGGUGAUCGGCCACACUGGGACUGAGACACGGCCCAGACUCCUACGGGAGGCAGCAGUAGGGAAUCUUCGGCAAUGGACGAAAGUCUGACCGAGCAACGCCGCGUGAGUGAAGAAGGUUUUCGGAUCGUAAAGCUCUGUUGUAAGUCAAGAACGUGUGUGAGAGUGGAAAGUUCACACAGUGACGGAGCUACCAGAAA
RNAcentral lists this ribosomal RNA (474 nucleotides) under Streptococcus mitis. Its description in RNAcentral is "bacterial SSU rRNA". It matches the Rfam family "Bacterial small subunit ribosomal RNA", at positions 28 to 489 of the family's 1533-position model. Lineage: Bacteria; Bacillati; Bacillota; Bacilli; Lactobacillales; Streptococcaceae. The record is from RNAcentral.